Sus scrofa (pig) is the source of this 408-nucleotide non-coding RNA. The record is from RefSeq and is a predicted model, not a curated record. NCBI's taxonomy places the organism in Eukaryota, Metazoa, Chordata, Mammalia, Artiodactyla, Suidae.
CUCUCCAUGACUGCAGAGUGAAAUAUAGCUCCGGGCAUAGAAAAUGUUCCUCCAGUGCUCCGAUAAAUAGCAUUCAGUUUUCAGCCCCAGGGAAUUCAAUGCAGCCCUAGUUACCCCUCACUGCCAUCACAGCCAUUGAUUCCUUGGGCAGUGGAAAUGAUUUAUGAAGAUUAGUGAGAGACUGAGCCAAUCUACUAUCCCCACAGAAGAUUUUUGCUGCCAUGGCCACCGGAACCAUAGCAAUGUACAGAGAUCUCUUUGAGACCUACAUAUGCCUCAUAACCUCCUUGGACAGUCAGAUUUGUUACGAUGCCUGAAUUUAAAAUAUUUCAGCACAGAUAGUAUAAUAUAAUGUAUUUUAUAGUUAAUUUUUAACUCUCUGGUCAAUUGUUGCUUGACUCAGGACUU